RNAcentral lists this ribosomal RNA (1431 nucleotides) under uncultured organism. Its description in RNAcentral is "SSU rRNA". It matches the Rfam family "Bacterial small subunit ribosomal RNA". The record is from RNAcentral.
GCUUAACACAUGCAAGUCGAGGGGCAGCACAGGUAGCAAUACCGGGUGGCGACCGGCGCACGGGUGAGUAACGCGUAUGCAACUUACCUAUCAGAGGGGGAUAACCCGGCGAAAGUCGGACUAAUACCGCAUGAAGCAGGGGCCCCGCAUGGGGAUAUUUGCUAAAGAUUCAUCGCUGAUAGAUAGGCAUGCGUUCCAUUAGGCAGUUGGUGGGGUAACGGCCCACCAAACCGACGAUGGAUAGGGGUUCUGAGAGGAAGGUCCCCCACAUUGGUACUGAGACACGGACCAAACUCCUACGGGAGGCAGCAGUGAGGAAUAUUGGUCAAUGGCCGAGAGGCUGAACCAGCCAAGUCGCGUGAGGGAUGAAGGUUCUAUGGAUCGUAAACCUCUUUUAUAAGGGAAUAAAGUGCGGGACGUGUCCCGUUUUGUAUGUACCUUAUGAAUAAGGAUCGGCUAACUCCGUGCCAGCAGCCGCGGUAAUACGGAGGAUCCGAGCGUUAUCCGGAUUUAUUGGGUUUAAAGGGUGCGUAGGCGGCCUUUUAAGUCAGCGGUGAAAGUCUGUGGCUCAACCAUAGAAUUGCCGUUGAAACUGGGGGGCUUGAGUAUGUUUGAGGCAGGCGGAAUGCGUGGUGUAGCGGUGAAAUGCAUAGAUAUCACGCAGAACCCCGAUUGCGAAGGCAGCCUGCCAAGCCAUGACUGACGCUGAUGCACGAAAGCGUGGGGAUCAAACAGGAUUAGAUACCCUGGUAGUCCACGCAGUAAACGAUGAUCACUAGCUGUUUGCGAUACACUGUAAGCGGCACAGCGAAAGCGUUAAGUGAUCCACCUGGGGAGUACGCCGGCAACGGUGAAACUCAAAGGAAUUGACGGGGGCCCGCACAAGCGGAGGAACAUGUGGUUUAAUUCGAUGAUACGCGAGGAACCUUACCCGGGUUUGAACGCAUUCGGACCGAGGUGGAAACACCUUUUCUAGCAAUAGCCGUUUGCGAGGUGCUGCAUGGUUGUCGUCAGCUCGUGCCGUGAGGUGUCGGCUUAAGUGCCAUAACGAGCGCAACCCUUGCCACUAGUUACUAACAGGUAAAGCUGAGGACUCUGGUGGGACUGCCAGCGUAAGCUGCGAGGAAGGCGGGGAUGACGUCAAAUCAGCACGGCCCUUACAUCCGGGGCGACACACGUGUUACAAUGGCGUGGACAAAGGGAGGCCACCUGGUGACAGGGAGCGAAUCCCCAAACCACGUCUCAGUUCGGAUCGGAGUCUGCAACCCGACUCCGUGAAGCUGGAUUCGCUAGUAAUCGCGCAUCAGCCAUGGCGCGGUGAAUACGUUCCCGGGCCUUGUACACACCGCCCGUCAAGCCAUGGGAGCCGGGGGUACCUGAAGUCCGUAACAGGGAGGAUCGGCCUAGGGUAAAACUGGUGACUGGGGCUAA